Molecule: ribosomal RNA, 485 nt
Filed under: uncultured bacterium
Lineage: Bacteria
Description: partial 16S ribosomal RNA
Rfam family: Bacterial small subunit ribosomal RNA
Source: RNAcentral
AUUGAACGCUGGCGGCAUGCCUUACACAUGCAAGUCGAACGGCAGCACGGGUGCUUGCACCUGGUGGCGAGUGGCGAACGGGUGAGUAAUACAUCGGAACAUGUCCUGUAGUGGGGGAUAGCCCGGCGAAAGCCGGAUUAAUACCGCAUACGAUCUACGGAUGAAAGCGGGGGACCUUCGGGCCUCGCGCUAUAGGGUUGGCCGAUGGCUGAUUAGCUAGUUGGUGGGGUAAAGGCCUACCAAGGCGACGAUCAGUAGCUGGUCUGAGAGGACGACCAGCCACACUGGGACUGAGACACGGCCCAGACUCCUACGGGAGGCAGCAGUGGGGAAUUUUGGACAAUGGGCGAAAGCCUGAUCCAGCAAUGCCGCGUGUGUGAAGAAGGCCUUCGGGUUGUAAAGCACUUUUGUCCGGAAAGAAAUCCUUGGCUCUAAUACAGCCGGGGGAUGACGGUACCGGAAGAAUAAGCACCGGCUAACUACGU